UGUCUUCAUGUCCAGCUCUGGGGGAGAAAGGAUGGGGGCAGCUUUGUCUCAUGGCACAGCAGUGAAGAGAAGCUCGGUUUCCUGCACACAAAGGAGGCUGUGCUGCUCUUACUCAGCUGAGUGAGAGUGGUAAGCACACCACGAGGUUCACAUCCCAGACAGCAAAGUACCACUGAAUGAUUAAAGGAAAUUCAAAGAAAAAGGUCAGAUGGAGACAGUGCUUCAUUCUCAGUCAGAAGAUUAAAGCUGCAUAAGAAAACCAAUAUGAUGCUGCUUGUAGAUUCUUUCUGAGUGUAGUUUUUGCAACAUUUCUCAAUCUCUGUAUGAAAGGGGCAAGACCUUAUUUCAAGAGCAAUGGGUAAACACUCAGAAACAAGCAGCUGCAUGUAAAACAUUCCUCCUUGCUGAAGGCACUCUCCCAGUACCUGUUCAGUUGUAGAUAUCAAUUGUAAUAAUUCUUUGGGAACAGUUUAAUUUUAGUUUUCAAACCACA
This is a long non-coding RNA of Cyanistes caeruleus (blue tit), 493 nucleotides long. RefSeq lists it as uncharacterized. The record is from RefSeq and is a predicted model, not a curated record. NCBI's taxonomy places the organism in Eukaryota, Metazoa, Chordata, Aves, Passeriformes, Paridae.